GCCCCGGUAAACGGCGGCCGUAACUAUAACGGUCCUAAGGUAGCGAAAUUCCUUGUCGGGUAAGUUCCGACCUGCACGAAUGGCGUAAUGAUGGCCAGGCUGUCUCCACCCGAGACUCAGUGAAAUUGAACUCGCUGUGAAGAUGCAGUGUACCCGCGGCAAGACGGAAAGACCCCGUGAACCUUUACUAUAGCUUGACACUGAACAUUGAGCCUUGAUGUGUAGGAUAGGUGGGAGGCUUUGAAGUGUGGACGCCAGUCUGCAUGGAGCCGACCUUGAAAUACCACCCUUUAAUGUUUGAUGUUCUAACGUUGGCCCGUAAUCCGGGUUGCGGACAGUGUCUGGUGGGUAGUUUGACUGGGGCGGUCUCCUCCUAAAGAGUAACGGAGGAGCACGAAGGUUGGCUAAUCCUGGUCGGACAUCAGGAGGUUAGUGCAAUGGCAUAAGCCAGCUUGACUGCGAGCGUGACGGCGCGAGCAGGUGCGAAAGCAGGUCAUAGUGAUCCGGUGGUUCUGAAUGGAAGGGCCAUCGCUCAACGGAUAAAAGGUACUCCGGGGAUAACAGGCUGAUACCGCCCAAGAGUUCAUAUCGACGGCGGUGUUUGGCACCUCGAUGUCGGCUCAUCACAUCCUGGGGCUGAAGUAGGUCCCAAGGGUAUGGCUGUUCGCCAUUUAAAGUGGUACGCGAGCUGGGUUUAGAACGUCGUGAGACAGUUCGGUCCCUAUCUGCCGUGGGCGCUGGAGAACUGAGGGGGGCUGCUCCUAGUACGAGAGGACCGGAGUGGACGCAUCACUGGUGUUCGGGUUGUCAUGCCAAUGGCACUGCCCGGUAGCUAAAUGCGGAAGAGAUAAGUGCUGAAAGCAUCUAAGCACGAAACUUGCCCCGAGAUGAGUUCUCCCUGACUCCUUGAGAGUCCUGAAGGAACGUUGAAGACGACGACGUUGAUAGGCCGGGUGUGUAAGCGCAGCGAUGCGUUGAGCUAACCGGUACUAAUGAACCGUGAGGCUUAACCUUACAACGCCGAAG
RNAcentral lists this ribosomal RNA (1026 nucleotides) under Escherichia coli. RNAcentral's name for it is "partial 23S ribosomal RNA". It matches the Rfam family "Bacterial large subunit ribosomal RNA", at positions 1917 to 2925 of the family's 2925-position model. The record is from RNAcentral. Lineage: Bacteria; Pseudomonadati; Pseudomonadota; Gammaproteobacteria; Enterobacterales; Enterobacteriaceae.